GCCUGUAUAAAGGGUUAGUUGGCCUGUAUAAAGGGUUAGUUGGCCUGUAUAAAGGGUUAGUUGGCCUGUAUAAAGGGUUAGUUGGUCUGUAUAAAGGGUUAGUUGGCCUGUAUAAAGGGUUAGUUGGUCUGUAUAAUGGGUUAGUUAUUCUGUAUAAAGGGUUAGUUGGCCUGUAUAAAGGGUUAGUUGGCCUGUAUAAAGGGUUAGUUAGUCUGUAUAAUGGGUUAGUUAUUCUGUAUAAUGGGUUAGUUGGCCUGUAUAAAGGGUUAGGGUUAGUUGGCCUGUAUAAAGGGUUAGUUGGUCUGUAUAAUGGGUUAGUUAUUCUGUAUAAAGGGUUAGUUGGCCUGUAUAAAGGGUUAGUUGGCCUGUAUAAAGGGUUAGUUAGUCUGUAUAAUGGGUUAGUUAUUCUGUAUAAUGGGUUAGUUGGCCUGUAUAAAGGGUUAGGGUUAGUUGGCCUGUAUAAAGGGUUAGUUGGUCUGUAUAAUGGGUUAGUUAUUCUGUAUAAAGGGUUAGUUGGCCUGUAUAAAGGGUUAGUUGGCCUGUAUAAAGGGUUAGUUAGUCUGUAUAAUGGGUUAGUUAUUCUGUAUAAUGGGUUAGUUGGCCUGUAUAAAGGGUUAGGUUUAGUUGGCCUGUAUAAAGGGUUAGGGUUAGUUGGCCUGUAUAAAGGGUUAG
Non-coding RNA from Oncorhynchus mykiss (rainbow trout), 672 nucleotides. The record is from RefSeq and is a predicted model, not a curated record. NCBI's taxonomy places the organism in Eukaryota, Metazoa, Chordata, Actinopteri, Salmoniformes, Salmonidae.